Molecule: ribosomal RNA, 462 nt
Filed under: Bacillus sp. TH203b
Lineage: Bacteria; Bacillati; Bacillota; Bacilli; Caryophanales; Bacillaceae
Description: bacterial SSU rRNA
Rfam family: Bacterial small subunit ribosomal RNA
Source: RNAcentral
AAGAGCUUGCUCUUAUGAAGUUAGCGGCGGACGGUUUAGUAUCUCGUGGGUAACUUGCCCAUGGGACUGGGAUAAUUGCGGGGGACCGGGGCUAAUACCGGAUUAACAUUUUGAACCGCAUGGUUCGAAAUUGAAAGGCGGCUUCGGCUGUCACUUAUGGAUGGACCCGCGUCGCAUUAGCUAGUUGGUGAGGUAACGGCUCACCAAGGCAACGAUGCGUAGCCGACCUGAGAGGGUGAUCGGCCACACUGGGACUGAGACACGGCCCAGACUCCUACGGGAGGCAGCAGUAGGGAAUCUUCCGCAAUGGACGAAAGUCUGACGGAGCAACGCCGCGUGAGUGAUGAAGGCUUUCGGGUCGUAAAACUCUGUUGUUAGGGAAGAACAAGUGCUAGUUGAAUAAGCUGGCACCUUGACGGUACCUAACCAGAAAGCCACGGCUAACUACGUGCCAGCAGCCGC